CGAUCGCAUCGUCGAAGGGCAGGAUGUCCGGGUCGCUCCCAUCGGCCCGGCCGUCCCCGGUCCGCCACCGGGCGAUGGAC
Molecule: transfer RNA, 80 nt
Filed under: Streptomyces sindenensis
Lineage: Bacteria; Bacillati; Actinomycetota; Actinomycetes; Kitasatosporales; Streptomycetaceae
Description: tRNA-Gly
Source: RNAcentral